GGGUGACGGUCUCAUCUGGGUGGUGGGACCCGUGCUGGCCGUGCUCUUCAUCAUCUGCAUCGUCAUCGCCAUCCUGCUCUACAAGAAUAAACCUGACAGCAAACGCAAGGACUCUGAGCCAGGAACUAAAUGUUUGCUGAAUAAUGCUGAGAUGAUGGCGCACAACCCCACCGACCCUGUGGAGAUGAGACGCAUCAACUUCCAGACAC
Sinocyclocheilus grahami is the source of this 209-nucleotide long non-coding RNA. RefSeq lists it as uncharacterized. The transcript has 3 exons. NCBI's taxonomy places the organism in Eukaryota, Metazoa, Chordata, Actinopteri, Cypriniformes, Cyprinidae. The record is from RefSeq and is a predicted model, not a curated record.